Centruroides sculpturatus (bark scorpion) is the source of this 1180-nucleotide RNA transcript. It is a transcript of the gene named glucose dehydrogenase [FAD, quinone]-like, with no coding region annotated. The transcript has 5 exons. The record is from RefSeq and is a predicted model, not a curated record. Lineage: Eukaryota; Metazoa; Arthropoda; Arachnida; Scorpiones; Buthidae.
GAUCUUCCCGUCAGUCGAAACUUACACGACCAUCUCACAACUCCUAGUUUACAGUUUUUAAUAGACUCUUAUACAUUCGCUGAUCAUAGAAUUACCAAAGAAGAUUACAACGAAAUUUUGGUUAAUGGAACAGAAUGUUAGGUUGGAUUUUCCUUUAAGAACGAGCAUACAUGGAGUGUACAGAUUAUUUUGGUUUCGUCUAUUAUUGGAAAAUGAAUCUUCGAUGAGAAUUGAGAUAACACAAAUAAGAUUCUGUCUUGAAUGAUUUUAUCCAAUUAUUAAACAAAAUUCGAAAAUAUGAAAAGAAAUGUUUUAAAAUAUAUAUUGGUAAGAUCUUAAAUAGAACACUCAGCAAAGAAAUGAAGAAUGUUUUGACAGGUUCAUGUAUGAGAAAACUCUGAAAAUACGGUAAUCAUUUUACUUAUAUUAAUAGUGUUGUGACUAAUCUAUUUUCUGCAGGACCAUUAUCGACUCUAGCACAAUUAGAAGCAGCUGGGUAUGUUAACACCAAGUACAACAAAUAUCCAGAUUGGCCCGACAUGCAUAUAAUGUGGCUCACUAAUACAAUGGGAAAUGUCAUAUCAAAUGCAAAGGAUGAAUUACAAAAUAUGUUUGAUCAGUACAAGGAUCAUGAUAUCAUUACUUGUUUGCCAGUACAUAUUCAUCCACGAAGUCGAGGAAGUGUAACGUUAAAAUCAAGCAAUCCUUAUGUGGAUCCAGUAAUCGACUUAAAUACCCUUUCUCAUCCUGAUGACUUGAAAAUUUUAGUCGAAGGUAUGAAGUAUUGUUUAACUUUGGCCUCUACAAAACCGAUGAGAAAACUGGGAGUUUGACCUCUGCCCUAUGUUAUGCCAGGAUGCGAAAAAUACGAACGCUUUAGUGAUGAACACCUUGCUUGCAUGGCUUUGGCGUUUCCUUACACUUUUCAUCAGUUCUCUGGAAGCUGUAAAAUGGGCGAUCCCAAUGAUCCCACUACAGUUGUAGAUGCAACAUUGAAAGUAAAAGGCGUUCAUGGGUUAAGAGUAGUCGACGCAUCUAUUAUCCCAAUGGUCGUAGGAGGUCAUAUAAUGACAGUUACUAUGAUGAUCGCCGACAAAGCUGCAGAUAUGAUACUUCACCAAUAUCAAAAAUAAUUUAAAUCGACAAUUAGAAAGAGAAAAUUUUACGUUUCUGUAAUGAG